RNAcentral lists this long non-coding RNA (770 nucleotides) under Homo sapiens (human). RNAcentral's name for it is "HSALNT0215833". The record is from RNAcentral. Lineage: Eukaryota; Metazoa; Chordata; Mammalia; Primates; Hominidae.
GCCGGGCAGUGGGUCAGCCGAGCGGCCGGGACUGAGGCUCAGGUCGCCGCCCGCCCGCAGGAAGCAGGGCUCUGCCAGGUGGCCCUGGGAGAGGUCGUCCCCCUCGGAGAAGCUGUCGGCCUUGUAGCUGGCGUAGAGCGGGCUGGCGCGGCCGUCGGCCUUCUUGCCCGGGCUGCCCCCGGCCCCGCCGUAGUAGCGUUCAGAGAAGCUGCAGGGGGGGCCGCGGGCCUGGUUUCUCCACCCCGUCGCAGAAGGCCAGGUCGCGGGCGGAGGCAUCGGACAGGCGGGAGGACAGGCUGGCGGGGUCCGGCUUCUCCAGCACCUUGGCAAUGACGCAGGUGGGGACGCUGUCGGCGUAGGCCGGGUGGCAGAGCGGGGAUGGCAGGCUGCAGCCGUGCUUCUCCAUGUGCAGGCUCACGCGCUCCUGGAAAUCCGAGGGCAGCUGGAACGGGUGCGAGGAGGGGGACGGCGGGUACAGGGUCACUGUUAGCAUGGCAGCCCAGCCCUGGCCCUGAAGCUGAGGACUGAUGUUAGCCAUGACCGACAGGCAGACAGACGAACGGGGGCCUCCCGGCUUCUCAAAUCACACCAGGGGGAGCCUGGAUCCAGGACGCUGUACUGAACAAGCUCCCAGGGGUGUGGGUGCUGUGACUGCCUGGGGAUCCUGGGUCACCUCUCCCCACCCCACUCUGAUUGGGCCCAGGAGAGCCCAGAAGCUGCAGUCGCCUGGAGAAGCCGGAACCCAGGUCUGAUUCAGGCCCCACUCAAGG